Molecule: ribosomal RNA, 506 nt
Filed under: uncultured bacterium
Lineage: Bacteria
Description: partial 16S ribosomal RNA
Rfam family: Bacterial small subunit ribosomal RNA
Source: RNAcentral
AUUGAACGCUGGCGGCAGGCUUAACACAUGCAAGUCAAGCGGUAACAGAGAGAAGCUUGCUUCUCUGCUGACGAGCGGCGGACGGGUGAGUAAUGCCUAGGAAUCUGCCUAGUAGUGGGGGGUAACUUGCCGGAAGGUAAGCUAAUACCGCAUACGUCCUACGGGAGAAAGGAGGGGACCUUCGGGCCUUUCGCUAUUAGAUGAGCCUAGGUCGGAUUAGUUAGUUGGUGAGGUAAUGGCUCACCAAGACCGCGAUCCGUAACUGGUCUGAGAGGGAGAUCAGGCAAACUGGAACUGAGACACGGGCCAGACUCCUACGGGAGGGAGCAGUGGGGAAUAUUGGACAAUGGGGGGAACCCUGAUCCAGCCAUGCCGCGUGUGUGAAGAAGGUCUUAGGAUUGUAAAGCACUUUAAGUUGGGAGGAAGAGCAGUUAACUAAUAUUUGACUGUUUUGACGUUACCGACAGAAUAAGCACCGGCUAACUUCGUGCCAGCCGCCGCCGUAA